This 226-nucleotide long non-coding RNA is filed under the name Ananas comosus (pineapple). Its description in RNAcentral is "long non-coding RNA (ACOM_LNC040727)". Lineage: Eukaryota; Viridiplantae; Streptophyta; Magnoliopsida; Poales; Bromeliaceae. The record is from RNAcentral.
CAUCUGACGUUUUCAAGUUUAACGGUGAAGAAGUAUUCAAAUCAAAUAAAAUUUUGAUAUAAAAUUCUUUAUACUAUCUAUAACAAGAUCAAUAUUUCUGAUCGAAAAUUUUCGUGUUAUAUCAUCACUUUUUAUAGAAUUUUUAUUUUCAGCCGUAAAAAAAUAUUGAUUUUGAAUUCUUUCGAUUGCUUGGUAAAUGAUAUGAAAAAAUAGCAAAAAUUAUUUU